GAUGAACGCUGGCGGCGUGCCUAAUACAUGCAAGUCGAGCGAACGGACGAGAAGCUUGCUUCUCUGAUGUUAGCGGCGGACGGGUGAGUAACACGUGGAUAACCUACCUAUAAGACUGGGAUAACUUCGGGAAACCGGAGCUAAUACCGGAUAAUAUUUUGAACCGCAUGGUUCAAAAGUGAAAGACGGUCUUGCUGUCACUUAUAGAUGGAUCCGCGCUGCAUUGGCUAGUUGGUAAGGUAACGGCUUACCAAGGCAACGAUGCAUAGCCGACCUGAGAGGGUGAUCGGCCACACUGGAACUGGGCCACGGUCCAGACUCCUACGGGAGGCACCAGUAGGGAACCUUCCGCAAUGGGCGAAAGCCUGACGGAGCAACGCCGCGUGAGUGAUGAAGGUCUUCGGAUCGUAAAACCCUUUUAUUAGGGAAGAACAUAUGUGUAAGUAAAUGUGCACAUAUUGACGGUACCUAAUCAGAAAGCCACGGCUAACUACGUG
This 497-nucleotide ribosomal RNA is filed under the name uncultured bacterium. Its description in RNAcentral is "partial 16S ribosomal RNA". It matches the Rfam family "Bacterial small subunit ribosomal RNA", at positions 28 to 507 of the family's 1533-position model. The record is from RNAcentral.